Molecule: non-coding RNA, 351 nt
Organism: Cinara cedri
Lineage: Eukaryota; Metazoa; Arthropoda; Insecta; Hemiptera; Aphididae
Source: the annotation of a GenBank genome assembly
GUUUUUAAAAGGAAAAAAAGUGCUGAUGCUGGAAACAGAUGUAGCCACCGUUAAAGGUGAAAAGUUGCAAAAGAAGGCUUCAGACAGUUAUUUGAUUUAUAUCUGUGUGCAAAGGUAAACCAUAGCUAACUAAAACCGAUUUGGAGCGAAGUUCGUAAAGGCAUAUUUUAAAACGCAGUAAUUUCUACAAUUUUUGUCAAAAUUUGAUCGAAAUCAAUCAACGUCCUUCUUACAUACAAACAAGAAAAAAUUGUCUUCAAAAAAAUACUAUUUUUGAAAUUUGGACAACGAUUUUCGAUUCAAAAUUAUAAUCUUAAAAAUAUUAAAUAGUGAAAUAUUUGGGGAGUAAUU